This is a long non-coding RNA of Sciurus carolinensis (gray squirrel), 332 nucleotides long. RefSeq lists it as uncharacterized. The transcript is spliced from 3 exons. Lineage: Eukaryota; Metazoa; Chordata; Mammalia; Rodentia; Sciuridae. The record is from RefSeq and is a predicted model, not a curated record.
GAUUUCCUCAUGUUGCCCAGGCUGUCCUCAAACUCCCGGCCUCAAGCUGUCCUCCAACUUCAGCCUCCCGAGUAGCUGACAUGACAAAUAUUUUUCUCUUCCACUGAAAGACGGUCUUGAAGGUCGAUCUUCAGAGAUUAUACCAGUUUGCCUGGGCGGCUGUAAUGAAGUACCACCGGCUGGCCAGGACAUAACCAGCCCGCAGCAGGGCAGGUGAAGGAGCGCACACCUGCGGACCUCUCCACCGGAGGAGAGAAUCCCGUCUGCCGACGGACAAGGGCGUAUCCACCUCUUUGUCUCAGCCCUUCUCGGGGCACAGCUCGACCUUCCCA